CCUACGGGUGGCAGCAGUAGGGAAUCGUCCACAAUGGGCGAAAGCCUGAUGGAGCAACGCCGCGUGGGUGAAGAAGGUCUUCGGAUCGUAAAACCCUGUUGAUAGAGAAGAAAGUGAGUGAGAGUAACGGUUCACGUUUCGAGGGUAUCUAACCAGAAAGCCACGGCUAACUACGUGCCAGCAGCCGCGGUAAUACGUAGGGGGCAAGCGUUAGCCGGAUUUAUUGGGCGUAAAGGGAACGCAGGCGGUCUUUUACGUCUGAUGUGAACGCCUUCGGCUUAACCGGAGUAGUGCAUUUGAAUCUGGGAGACUUUAGUGCAGAAGAGGAUAGUGGAACUCCAUUUGUAGCG
RNAcentral lists this ribosomal RNA (350 nucleotides) under uncultured bacterium. RNAcentral describes it as "partial 16S ribosomal RNA". It matches the Rfam family "Bacterial small subunit ribosomal RNA", at positions 338 to 680 of the family's 1533-position model. The record is from RNAcentral.